This 2289-nucleotide ribosomal RNA is filed under the name human metagenome. Its description in RNAcentral is "bacterial LSU rRNA". It matches the Rfam family "Bacterial large subunit ribosomal RNA", at positions 1 to 2317 of the family's 2925-position model. The record is from RNAcentral.
GAAAGUACAUAAGAGCGCUUGGGGGAUGCCUAGGCUCUUGGAGGCUAUGAAGGACGUGGUAAGCUGCGAAAAGCUGCGGGGAUUUGCAAACGAGACUUGAUCCGCAGAUAUCCGAAUGGGACAACCCGGCAGGCGGAAGGCCUGUCACACUGCAAAGUGAGCCAACCCUCUGAACUGAAACAUCUUAGUAGGAGGAGGAAAAGAAAGAAACAUCGAUUACCUAAGUAGCGGCGAGCGAACGGGUAAGAGCCUAAACCGGAAGUGUUACGGCACUUUCGGGGUUGUAGGACUGCAAUAACGUUUUGGACGAAGAACCGGAAGUACCUGGAAAGGUAUGCCGCAGAGAGUGAAAGCCUCGUACGGGCAAUUCGGUUCAAUGCAAGCAGUAUCCUGAGUAGGGCGGGACACGAGGAAUCCUGUCUGAAUCGACCGGGACCACCCGGUAAGGCUAAAUACUACCAAGAGACCGAUAGUGAACCAGUACCGUGAGGGAAAGGUGAAAAGAACCCCGAACAGGGGAGUGAAAAAGAACCUGAAACCAAGUGCUUACAACCUGUCGGAGCCGCUAAGUGCGGUGACGGCGUGCCUAUUGAAUAAUGAGCCUACGAGUUACUAAUCACUAGCGAGGUUAAGUGCUGGGAAGCACGGAGCCGAAGCGAAAGCGAGUCUGAAAAGGGCGGUUAGUUAGUGGUUGUAGACGCGAAACCUUGCGAUCUACCCUUGAGCAGGAUGAAGGUUGGGUAAAACCAACUGGAGGUCCGCACCAAUAAACGUUGAAAAGUUUCUGGAUGACUUGAGGGUAGGGGUGAAAGGCUAAUCAAGCUGGGAAAUAGCUCGUACUCCCCGAAAUGCCUUUAGGGGCAGCGUUGUAAUAAAGAGUCUACUGGAGGUAGAGCUACUGAUUGGAUGCGGGGGCUUCACCGCCUACCAAAUCCUGACAAACUCCGAAUGCCAGUAGUAUGAUUUACAGCAGUGAGCGACCGGGUGCUAAUGUCCGGUCACAAAAGAGGAACAACUCAGACCAGCAACUAAGGUCCCCAAGAAUAUGCUAAGUUGAACUAACGAUGUUUUGUUGCAGAGACAGCUAGGAUGUUAGCUUGGAAGCAGCUAUUCAUUCAAAGAGUGCGUAACAGCUCACUAGUCGAGCGACAGAGCGUGGAUAAUAAACGGGCAUCAAGCAUAUCACCGAAGUUCUGGACACGAAAGUGUGGUAGGGGAGCAUUCCAUCGACGUCGAAGCCGUGCCGUGAGGCGUGGUGGAGUUUAUGGAAAAGCAAAUGUAGGCAUAAGUAACGACAAUGCGGGAGAGUAACCCGCACACCGCAAGACCAAGGUUUCCUGAUCAACGCUAAUCGGAUCAGGGUUAGUCGGGUCCUAAGGGUAAGCCGAAAGGCGAUCUCGAUGGAUAAUCGGUUAAUAUUCCGAUACUGACAUAUAUUUCGAUGGAGAGACGAAGGAACGUAAGUGCCGCCACCUGACGGAAUAGGUGGUUAAAGGAUUUAGGUAUAGGGACGGAUUAAGAGUCGGUUCCUGCUGAAUUCCGACAGUACAGAGAGCCUACGGGCAAUUUGAUAGUGCACCCAAGUCGACUUCCGAGAAAAUCUUCUAAGGCUAGGUAUAUGUCACCCGUACCGUAAACCGACACAGGUGGUCGAGGAGAGUAUCCUAAGGUGCUCGAGUGAAUCACGGUUAAGGAACUAGGCAAAUUAACCCCGUAACUUCGGGAAAAGGGGUCCCACCGCGAGGUGGGCGCAGCGAAGAGGUCCAGGCGACUGUUUAUCAAAAACACAGGGCUCUGCAAAUUCGAAAGAAGAAGUAUAGGGCCUGACACCUGCCCGGUGCUGGAAGGUUAAGAGGGGAUGUCAUCGCAAGAGAAGCAUUGAAUCGAAGCCCCAGUAAACGGCGGCCGUAACUAUAACGGUCCUAAGGUAGCGAAAUUCCUUGUCGGGUAAGUUCCGACCCGCACGAAUGGCGUAACGACUUGUGAGCUGUCUCAACAGGAGGCCCGGUGAAAUUGAAGUAUGUGUGAAGAUGCACAUUACCCGCGACUGGACGGAAAGACCCCGUAGAGCUUUACUGUAACCUGACAUUGGAUCUUGAUAACGGAUGCACAGGAUAGGUGGGACGCUGGGAGGUAUGGACUUUGGUCUGUACGGAGCGGACGUUGGGAUACCACUCUUCUGUUAUUGAGAUUCUAACCUCAAGCCGUAAGCCGGAUGAGAGACAGUGUCAGGCGGACAGUUUGACUGGGGCGGUCGCCUCCGAAAGAGUAACGGAGGCGCCCAAAGGU